Molecule: ribosomal RNA, 253 nt
Filed under: uncultured bacterium
Lineage: Bacteria
Description: partial 16S ribosomal RNA
Rfam family: Bacterial small subunit ribosomal RNA
Source: RNAcentral
UACGUAGGGUCCGAGCGUUGUCCGGAAUUAUUGGGCGUAAAGGGCUCGUCGGCGGUUCUUCACGUCGGGAGUGAAAACUCGGGGCUUAACCCCGAGCCUGCUUCCGAUACGGGCAGACUAGAGGUAGGCAGGGGAGAGCGGAACUCCUGGUGUAGCGGUGGAAUGCGCAGAUAUCAGGAAGAACACCCGUGGCGAAGGCGGCUCUCUGGGACGGUACUGACGCUGAGACGCGAAAGCGUGGGGAGCGAACAGG